AUUGAACGCUGGCGGCAUGCUUUACACAUGCAAGUCGAACGGCAGCGCGGGCUUCGGCCUGGCGGCGAGUGGCGAACGGGUGAGAAAUACAUCGGAACGUGCCCAGUAGUGGGGGAUAGCUCGGCGAAAGCCGGAUUAAUACCGCAUACGACCUGAGGGUGAAAGCGGGGGAUCUUCGGACCUCGCGCUAUUGGAGCGGCCGAUGGCAGAUUAGCUAGUUGGUGGGGUAAAGGCCUACCAAGGCGACGAUCUGUAGCUGGUCUGAGAGGACGACCAGCCACACUGGGACUGAGACACGGCCCAGACUCCUACGGGAGGCAGCAGUGGGGAAUUUUGGACAAUGGGCGAAAGCCUGAUCCAGCAAUGCCGCGUGUGUGAUGAAGGCCUUCGGGUUGUAAAGCACUUUUGGCGGGAACGAAAAGGACUGUGCCAAUACCACGGUUCGAUGACGGUACCCGCAGAAUAAGCACCGGCUAACUACGUG
RNAcentral lists this ribosomal RNA (484 nucleotides) under uncultured bacterium. RNAcentral's name for it is "partial 16S ribosomal RNA". It matches the Rfam family "Bacterial small subunit ribosomal RNA", at positions 29 to 507 of the family's 1533-position model. The record is from RNAcentral.